Long non-coding RNA from Lemur catta (Ring-tailed lemur), 597 nucleotides. RefSeq lists it as uncharacterized. The transcript is spliced from 3 exons. The record is from RefSeq and is a predicted model, not a curated record. Lineage: Eukaryota; Metazoa; Chordata; Mammalia; Primates; Lemuridae.
GUGGGCAGUGUGUGGAGAGAGAAGUGCUACGGGGCAGUCAGAGAACAGUAUUUACAAGCAUCAAAUUUUCCUGAACAUUCUGGAGCUAUACUCUAUAUGAGCUCUUAUAGUAAGGUCGUGAGUGGCCUUGGGAGGAAUCAUUUCGGGAGCACGUGGGUGGAGACAACAUGUUGAAUAAUGGAGGAUGGUGAGAGGCGCAGUAAUCACCAUAGCUCUGUGAGCCGCAGUGAAGCCAUCUCGUGAACAGGCUCCCUGCUGCUGUGUGAUUCACGAGCCCGUGACCUAUGAGCUCAUAUAUGGAAAACAGGAAAAAUAAGGCACAAAGGAAGACUACAUUUCCCAGACUCCCUCACAGUCAGGGUCAGGCCAUAUGACUGCAUUGUGGCCAAUAAGAUGUGAGAAGAAUUGAUGUAAACCACUUCAGUGUUGGACAUAAAACUACUUGUGAGAUUCCUCACUCUCUCCUCCCUUCUCCUUCUAUGGUCACAUGUUCCAAACAGUAUAACUACUAUUAAUAAAUGAAAAGAGCACAUAUACCUGAGUUAUUGCUCAUAGCAGAGACAGUGAAUGGAGUUGCCCACACUUUAUUAAACAUUG